Molecule: ribosomal RNA, 2663 nt
Filed under: Escherichia coli
Lineage: Bacteria; Pseudomonadati; Pseudomonadota; Gammaproteobacteria; Enterobacterales; Enterobacteriaceae
Description: partial 23S ribosomal RNA
Rfam family: Bacterial large subunit ribosomal RNA
Source: RNAcentral
CGAUUUCCGAAUGGGGAAACCCAGUGUGUUUCGACACACUAUCAUUAACUGAAUCCAUAGGUUAAUGAGGCGAACCGGGGGAACUGAAACAUCUAAGUACCCCGAGGAAAAGAAAUCAACCGAGAUUCCCCCAGUAGCGGCGAGCGAACGGGGAGGAGCCCAGAGCCUGAAUCAGUGUGUGUGUUAGUGGAAGCGUCUGGAAAGGCGCGCGAUACAGGGUGACAGCCCCGUACACAAAAAUGCACAUAUUGUGAGCUCGAUGAGUAGGGCGGGACACGUGGUAUCCUGUCUGAAUAUGGGGGGACCAUCCUCCAAGGCUAAAUACUCCUGACUGACCGAUAGUGAACCAGUACCGUGAGGGAAAGGCGAAAAGAACCCCGGCGAGGGGAGUGAAAAAGAACCUGAAACCGUGUACGUACAAGCAGUGGGAGCCUCUUUAUGGGGUGACUGCGUACCUUUUGUAUAAUGGGUCAGCGACUUAUAUUCUGUAGCAAGGUUAACCGAAUAGGGGAGCCGAAGGGAAACCGAGUCUUAACUGGGCGUUAAGUUGCAGGGUAUAGACCCGAAACCCGGUGAUCUAGCCAUGGGCAGGUUGAAGGUUGGGUAACACUAACUGGAGGACCGAACCGACUAAUGUUGAAAAAUUAGCGGAUGACUUGUGGCUGGGGGUGAAAGGCCAAUCAAACCGGGAGAUAGCUGGUUCUCCCCGAAAGCUAUUUAGGUAGCGCCUCGUGAAUUCAUCUCCGGGGGUAGAGCACUGUUUCGGCAAGGGGGUCAUCCCGACUUACCAACCCGAUGCAAACUGCGAAUACCGGAGAAUGUUAUCACGGGAGACACACGGCGGGUGCUAACGUCCGUCGUGAAGAGGGAAACAACCCAGACCGCCAGCUAAGGUCCCAAAGUCAUGGUUAAGUGGGAAACGAUGUGGGAAGGCCCAGACAGCCAGGAUGUUGGCUUAGAAGCAGCCAUCAUUUAAAGAAAGCGUAAUAGCUCACUGGUCGAGUCGGCCUGCGCGGAAGAUGUAACGGGGCUAAACCAUGCACCGAAGCUGCGGCAGCGACACUAUGUGUUGUUGGGUAGGGGAGCGUUCUGUAAGCCUGUGAAGGUGGCCUGUGAGGGUUGCUGGAGGUAUCAGAAGUGCGAAUGCUGACAUAAGUAACGAUAAAGCGGGUGAAAAGCCCGCUCGCCGGAAGACCAAGGGUUCCUGUCCAACGUUAAUCGGGGCAGGGUGAGUCGACCCCUAAGGCGAGGCCGAAAGGCGUAGUCGAUGGGAAACAGGUUAAUAUUCCUGUACUUGGUGUUACUGCGAAGGGGGGACGGAGAAGGCUAUGUUGGCCGGGCGACGGUUGUCCCGGUUUAAGCGUGUAGGCUGGUUUUCCAGGCAAAUCCGGAAAACCAAGGCUGAGGCGUGAUGACGAGGCACUACGGUGCUGAAGCGACAAAUGCCCUGCUUCCAGGAAAAGCCUCUAAGCAUCAGGUAACAUCAAAUCGUACCCCAAACCGACACAGGUGGUCAGGUAGAGAAUACCAAGGCGCUUGAGAGAACUCGGGUGAAGGAACUAGGCAAAAUGGUGCCGUAACUUCGGGAGAAGGCACGCUGAUAUGUAGGUGAAGCGACUUGCUCGUGGAGCUGAAAUCAGUCGAAGAUACCAGCUGGCUGCAACUGUUUAUUAAAAACACAGCACUGUGCAAACACGAAAGUGGACGUAUACGGUGUGACGCCUGCCCGGUGCCGGAAGGUUAAUUGAUGGGGUUAGCGGUAACGCGAAGCUCUUGAUCGAAGCCCCGGUAAACGGCGGCCGUAACUAUAACGGUCCUAAGGUAGCGAAAUUCCUUGUCGGGUAAGUUCCGACCUGCACGAAUGGCGUAAUGAUGGCCAGGCUGUCUCCACCCGAGACUCAGUGAAAUUGAACUCGCUGUGAAGAUGCAGUGUACCCGCGGCAAGACGGAAAGACCCCGUGAACCUUUACUAUAGCUUGACACUGAACAUUGAGCCUUGAUGUGUAGGAUAGGUGGGAGGCUUUGAAGUGUGGACGCCAGUCUGCAUGGAGCCGACCUUGAAAUACCACCCUUUAAUGUUUGAUGUUCUAACGUUGGCCCGUAAUCCGGGUUGCGGACAGUGUCUGGUGGGUAGUUUGACUGGGGCGGUCUCCUCCUAAAGAGUAACGGAGGAGCACGAAGGUUGGCUAAUCCUGGUCGGACAUCAGGAGGUUAGUGCAAUGGCAUAAGCCAGCUUGACUGCGAGCGUGACGGCGCGAGCAGGUGCGAAAGCAGGUCAUAGUGAUCCGGUGGUUCUGAAUGGAAGGGCCAUCGCUCAACGGAUAAAAGGUACUCCGGGGAUAACAGGCUGAUACCGCCCAAGAGUUCAUAUCGACGGCGGUGUUUGGCACCUCGAUGUCGGCUCAUCACAUCCUGGGGCUGAAGUAGGUCCCAAGGGUAUGGCUGUUCGCCAUUUAAAGUGGUACGCGAGCUGGGUUUAGAACGUCGUGAGACAGUUCGGUCCCUAUCUGCCGUGGGCGCUGGAGAACUGAGGGGGGCUGCUCCUAGUACGAGAGGACCGGAGUGGACGCAUCACUGGUGUUCGGGUUGUCAUGCCAAUGGCACUGCCCGGUAGCUAAAUGCGGAAGAGAUAAGUGCUGAAAGCAUCUAAGCACGAAACUUGC